AUUGAACGCUGGCGGCAUGCCUUACACAUGCAAGUCGAACGGUAACGCGCCUUCGGGUGCCGACGAGUGGCGAACGGGUGAGUAAUACAUCGGAACGUGCCCGAUCGUGGGGGAUAACGAGGCGAAAGCUUUGCUAAUACCGCAUACGAUCUACGGAUGAAAGCAGGGGACCGCAAGGCCUUGCGCGGACGGAGCGGCCGAUGGCAGAUUAGGUAGUUGGUGGGAUAAAAGCUUACCAAGCCGACGAUCUGUAGCUGGUCUGAGAGGAUGAUCAGCCACACUGGGACUGACACGGCCCAGACUCCUACGGGAGGCAGCAGUGGGGAAUUUUGGACAAUGGGCGCAAGCCUGAUCCAGCCAUGCCGCGUGCAGGAUGAAGGCCUUCGGGUUGUAAACUGCUUUUGUACGGAACGAAAAGCCUUCUUUUAAUACAGGAGGGUCAUGACGGUACCGUAAGAAUAAGCACCGGCUAACUACGUG
RNAcentral lists this ribosomal RNA (480 nucleotides) under uncultured bacterium. Its description in RNAcentral is "partial 16S ribosomal RNA". It matches the Rfam family "Bacterial small subunit ribosomal RNA", at positions 30 to 507 of the family's 1533-position model. The record is from RNAcentral.